This 785-nucleotide ribosomal RNA is filed under the name uncultured bacterium. RNAcentral's name for it is "bacterial SSU rRNA". It matches the Rfam family "Archaeal small subunit ribosomal RNA", at positions 48 to 841 of the family's 1478-position model. The record is from RNAcentral.
GCCAUGCGAGUCGAGAGGUGUAAGACCUCGGCAUACUGCUCAGUAACACGUGGUUAACCUGCCCUAAGGUGGAGAAUACUCCCGGGAAACUGGGGUUAAUGCUCCAUAGUGGAUAUGUCCUGGAAUGGUAUAUCCUCGAAAGAUCCGUCGCCUUAGGAUGGGACUGCGUCCGAUUAGGUUGUUGGCGGGGUAACGGCCCACCAAGCCAUUGAUCGGUACGGGUUGUGGGAGCAAGAUCCCGGAGAUGGAUUCUGAGACAUGAAUCCAGGCCCUACGGGGCGCAGCAGGCGCGCAAACUUUACAAUGCGAGCAAUCGUGAUAAGGAAACCCUGAGUGCCUGUCGAUGCAGGCUGUUCAUAUAUCUAAAUCAUAUGUGAAGAAAGGGCAGGGCAAGACCGGUGCCAGCCGCCGCGGUAAUACCGGCUGCUCGAGUGAUGGCCACUAUUACUGGGUUUAAAGCGUCCGUAGCUUGACUGUUAGGUCCCUUGGGAAAUCUUCGCGCUUAACGUGAAGGCGUCUAAGAGAUACCGGCAGUCUUGGAACUGGGAGAGGUAAACCGUACUUCGGGGGUAGGAGUGAAAUCUUGUAAUCCUCGAGGGACGACCUAUGGCGAAGGCAGUUUACCAGAACAGCUUCGACAGUGAGGGACGAAAGCUGGGGGAGCAAACGGGAUUAGAUACCCCGGUAGUCCCAGCCGUAAACAAUGUGCGUUAGGUGUGUCGGUAACCACGCGUUACUGAUGCGCCGAAGAGAAAUCGUGAAACGCACCACCUGGGAAGUACGGU